This 39-nucleotide ribosomal RNA is filed under the name Yersinia enterocolitica (type O:9) str. YE56/03. Its description in RNAcentral is "partial ribosomal RNA". Lineage: Bacteria; Pseudomonadati; Pseudomonadota; Gammaproteobacteria; Enterobacterales; Yersiniaceae. The record is from RNAcentral.
AGAGUGACGGCUCGAGCAGGUACGAAAGUAGGUCUUAGU